GCCUUCGGGUUGUAAAGCUCUUUCGGCAGGGAAGAAACGGACACNGNUAAUACCUGUGUCUAAUGACGGUACCUGACUAAGAAGCACCGGCUAACUACGUGCCAGCAGCCGCGGUAAUACGUAGGGUGCGAGCGUUAAUCGGAAUUACUGGGCGUAAAGCGUGCGCAGGCGGUUUUGUAAGUCAGAUGUGAAAUCCCCGGGCUUAACCUGGGAACUGCGUUUGAAACUGCAAGGCUAGAGUACGGCAGAGGGGGGUAGAAUUCCACGUGUAGCAGCGAAAUGCGUAGAUAUGUGGAGGAAUACCGAUGGCGAAGGCAGCCCCCUGGGUCGAUACUGACGCUCAUGCACGAAAGCGUGGGGAGCAAACAGGAUUAGAUACCCUGGUAGUCCACGCCCUAAACGAUGUCAACUAGUUGUCGGGGAGGUGACCUCUUUGGUAACGCAGCUAACGCGUGAAGUUGACCGCCUGGGGAGUACGGUCGCAAGAUUAAAACUCAAAGGAAUUGACGGGGACCCGCACAAGCGGUGGAUUAUGUGGAUUAAUUCGAUGCAACGCGAAAAACCUUACCUACCCUUGACAUGUACCGAAGGCUGCUGAAAGGUGGCUUGUGCCUGAAAGGAACCGUAACACAAGUGCUGCAUGGCUGUCGUCAACUCGUGUCGUGAGAUGUUU
Molecule: ribosomal RNA, 673 nt
Filed under: uncultured bacterium
Lineage: Bacteria
Description: bacterial SSU rRNA
Rfam family: Bacterial small subunit ribosomal RNA
Source: RNAcentral